RNAcentral lists this ribosomal RNA (19 nucleotides) under Ancylostoma caninum (dog hookworm). RNAcentral describes it as "partial 5.8S ribosomal RNA". The record is from RNAcentral. RNAcentral also lists the same sequence under 2 other names. Lineage: Eukaryota; Metazoa; Nematoda; Chromadorea; Rhabditida; Ancylostomatidae.
ACGUCUGGUUCAGGGUUGU